GAUUACCUACGGGGGGCAGCAGUGGGGGAUAUUGCACAAUGGGGGGAACCCUGAUGCAGCGACGCCGCGUGGGUGAAGAAGCGUUUCGGCGCGUAAAGCCCUGUCAGCAGGGAAGAAGAUGACGGUACCUGACCAAGAAGCCCCGGCUAACUACGUGCCAGCAGCCGCGGUAAUACGUAGGGGGCAAGCGUUAUCCGGAUUUACUGGGUGUAAAGGGGGCGCAGACGGCGAUGCAAGCCAGGAGUGAACGCCCGGGGCCCAACCCCGGGCCUGCUCUUGGAACUGCGUGGCUGGAAUGCAGGCGG
RNAcentral lists this ribosomal RNA (305 nucleotides) under uncultured bacterium. RNAcentral's name for it is "partial 16S ribosomal RNA". It matches the Rfam family "Bacterial small subunit ribosomal RNA", at positions 333 to 655 of the family's 1533-position model. The record is from RNAcentral.